ACACCUCAACUCUCAUGGUCUUCCAUGACGAGCUUGGACUUUGGGGGUCUUGCCGGCCUAGUGUUGGCUCCUCUCAAAUGGAUCAGCUUGCCAGUGUUUGGUGGGGUCACAGGUGUGAUAACUAUCUACGCGUGUGUUCCCUGCCAUGUAACCUUCAGUGAUGGAGGUUUGCUGGAGCUCAUAGAUGUCUCUCCUCGGCGAGGACAGCUUUUUGAAC
This 217-nucleotide unclassified non-coding RNA is filed under the name uncultured Tomentella. RNAcentral's name for it is "sequence contains ITS2". Lineage: Eukaryota; Fungi; Basidiomycota; Agaricomycetes; Thelephorales; Thelephoraceae. The record is from RNAcentral.